Molecule: ribosomal RNA, 468 nt
Filed under: uncultured bacterium
Lineage: Bacteria
Description: partial 16S ribosomal RNA
Rfam family: Bacterial small subunit ribosomal RNA
Source: RNAcentral
GACGAACGCUGGCGGCGUGCUUAACACAUGCAAGUCGAACGGAAAGGCCCUGCUUUUGUGGCGUGCUCGAGUGGCGAACGGGUGAGUAACACGUGAGUAACCUGCCCUUGACUUUGGGAUAACUUCAGGAAACUGGGGCUAAUACCGGAUAGGAGCUCCUGCUGCAUGGGGGGGGUUGGAAAGUUUCGGCGGUUGGGGAUGGACUCGCGGCUUAUCAGCUUGUUGGUGGGGUAGUGGCUUACCAGGGCUUUGACGGGUAGCCGGCCUGAGAGGGUGAACGGCCACAUUGGGACUGAGAGACGGCCCAGACUGCUACGGGAGGCAGUAGUGGGGAAUCUUGCACAAUGGGCGGGAGCGUGAUGCAGAAACGCCGCGUGCGGGAUGACGGCCUUCGGGUUGUAAACCGCUUUCGCCUGUGACGAAGCGUGCGUGACGGUAAUGGGUAAAGAAGCACCGGCUAACUACGUG